Molecule: ribosomal RNA, 348 nt
Filed under: uncultured bacterium
Lineage: Bacteria
Description: partial 16S ribosomal RNA
Rfam family: Bacterial small subunit ribosomal RNA
Source: RNAcentral
CCUACGGGAGGCAGCAGUGGGGAAUAUUGCGCAAUGGGCGAAAGCCUGACGCAGCGACGCCGCGUGAGGGAUGAAGGUCUUCGGAUUGUAAACCUCUGUCAGCAGGGCAGAACGGUCACUGUGCUAAUCAGCAGUGAAUUGACGGUACCUGCCAAGGAAGCACCGGCUAACUCCGUGCCAGCAGCCGCGGUAAUACGGAGGCGGCGAGAGGUAAUCGGAAUUACGGGGCGGACAGCGCUAGUAGGCGGUAUGUCAAGUCAAGGGUGAAAUCCCCGCGCUCAACGUGAGACGUGCAUUUGAAGCUGGCAAACUGGAGUGUGUGAGAGGAUAGUGGAACUGCAGGUGUAG